GAUGAACGCUGGCGGCGUGCCUAAUACAUGCAAGUCGAGCGAACAGACUAGGAGCUUGCUCCUCUGACGUUAGCGGCGGACGGGGUAGUAACACGUGGAUAACCUACCUAUAAGACUGGGAUAACUUCGGGAAACCGGAGCUAAUACCGCAUAAUAUAUUGAACCGCAUGGUUCAAUAGUGAAAGACGUUUUUGCUGUAACUUAUAGAUGGAUCCGCGCCGCAUUAGCUAGAUGGUAAGGUAACGGCUUACAAAUGCAACGAUGCGUAGCCGACCUGAGAGGGUGAUCGGCCACACUGGAACUGAGAAACGGUCCAGACUCCUACGGGAGGCAGAAGUAGGGAAUCUUCCGCAAUGGGCGAAAGCCUGAAGGAGCAACGCCGCGUGAGUGCUGAAGGUCUUCGGAUCGUAAAACUCUGUUAUUAGGGAAGAACAAAUGUGUAAGUAACUAUGAACGUCUUGACGGUACCUAAUCAGAAAGCAACGGCUAACUACGUG
RNAcentral lists this ribosomal RNA (497 nucleotides) under uncultured bacterium. RNAcentral's name for it is "partial 16S ribosomal RNA". It matches the Rfam family "Bacterial small subunit ribosomal RNA", at positions 28 to 507 of the family's 1533-position model. The record is from RNAcentral.